Molecule: ribosomal RNA, 109 nt
Organism: Salmo trutta (river trout)
Lineage: Eukaryota; Metazoa; Chordata; Actinopteri; Salmoniformes; Salmonidae
Source: Ensembl
GCUUGUGACCAGACCACCCUGGACAUGCCUGAUCUUGGUAGCUAAACAGGGUCAGGCCUGGUUAGUACUUGGAUGGGAGACCGCCUGGGAAUACCAGGUGCUGUAAGCU